This is a ribosomal RNA of Cercocebus atys (sooty mangabey), 100 nucleotides long. NCBI's taxonomy places the organism in Eukaryota, Metazoa, Chordata, Mammalia, Primates, Cercopithecidae. The record is from Ensembl.
GUCUACAGCCAUACCACCCUGAACGUGCCCAAUCUUGUCUGAUCUGAGAAGCUAAGUACUAGGAUGGGAGACAGCCUGGGAAUACCGAGUGCUUUAGGUU